AGCAAUAUAUGCCGAAGACAGUAGGUGUCGUAAGACGUAAGGAGAAAACGCCUACCGAGGAUUAAGAAUUCAUGAAUUAAGAAUCUUAAGGAGCCUCUCUGUCUUGGCAGAGAGGCUUUU
This 120-nucleotide small RNA is filed under the name chicken gut metagenome. RNAcentral's name for it is "Ribosomal protein L10 leader". It matches the Rfam family "Ribosomal protein L10 leader", at positions 11 to 127 of the family's 138-position model. Rfam says of the family: This family is a putative r-protein leader autoregulatory structure found in B. subtilis and other low-GC Gram-positive bacteria. The record is from RNAcentral.